RNAcentral lists this ribosomal RNA (421 nucleotides) under uncultured bacterium. Its description in RNAcentral is "bacterial SSU rRNA". It matches the Rfam family "Bacterial small subunit ribosomal RNA", at positions 381 to 793 of the family's 1533-position model. The record is from RNAcentral.
GUCUGACGCAGCGACGCCGCGUGGAGGAUGAAGGUUUUCGGAUCGUAAACUCCUGUCAAGAGGGAAGAAACCUAUCAUGAAUAAUACUCAUGGUAAUUGACGGUACCUCUAGAGGAAGCACCGGCUAAUUCAGUGCCAGCAGCCGCGGUAAUACUGAAGGUGCAAGCGUUAAUCGGAAUCACUGGGCGUAAAGCGCUCGUAGGUGGCUUUGUAAGUCAGGUGUGAAAGCCCACGGCUCAACCGUGGAAUUGCACUUGAUACUGCAUCGCUAGAGUAUAGGAGAGGGAAGUGGAAUUUCUGGUGUAGGAGUGAAAUCCGUAGAGAUCAGAAGGAACACCCGUGGCGAAGGCGACUUCCUGGACUAUUACUGACACUGAGGAGCGAAAGCGUGGGGAGCAAACAGGAUUAGAUACCCUGGUAG